Molecule: ribosomal RNA, 479 nt
Filed under: uncultured organism
Description: bacterial SSU rRNA
Rfam family: Bacterial small subunit ribosomal RNA
Source: RNAcentral
GACGAACGCUGGCGGCGUGCCUAACACAUGCAAGUCGAGCGAAGUACUUAUCAAGAAGCCUUCGGGCAGAUUGAUAAGCUACUUAGCGGCGGAUGGGUGAGUAACGCGUGAGGAACCUGCCUUCCACAAGGGGAUAGCCUCGGGAAACCGGGAUUAAUACCCUAUGAUACUUAAAGUCCGCAUGGAUUUUAAGUUAAAGCGAUAGCGGUGGAAGAUGGUCUCGCGUCCCAUUAGCUAGUUGGUGAGGUAACGGCUCACCAAGGCUACGAUGGGUAGCCGGCUUGAGAGAGUGACCGGCCACACUGGAACUGAGACACGGUCCAGACUCCUACGGGAGGCAGCAGUGGGGAAUAUUGCACAAUGGAGGAAACUCUGAUGCAGCGACGCCGCGUGAGCGAUGAAGGCCUUCGGGUCGUAAAGCUCUGUCCUAUGGGACGAUAAUGACGGUACCAUAGGAGGAAGCCCCGGCUAACUACGUG